This 495-nucleotide ribosomal RNA is filed under the name uncultured bacterium. RNAcentral describes it as "bacterial SSU rRNA". It matches the Rfam family "Bacterial small subunit ribosomal RNA", at positions 903 to 1397 of the family's 1533-position model. The record is from RNAcentral.
AAAUGAAUUGACGGGGGCCCGCACAAGCGGCGGAGCAUGCGGAUUAAUUCGAUGCAACGCGAAGAACCUUACCUGGGUUUGACAUGCCGGGAAAUCCUGCAGAGAUGUGGGGUGCCUUCGGGCGUCCGGCACAGGUGGUGCAUGGCUGUCGUCAGCUCGUGUCGUGAGAUGUUGGGUUAAGUCCCGCAACGAGCGCAACCCUUGUCCCGUGUUGCCAGCGGGUUAUGCCGGGGACUCACGGGAGACUGCCGGGGUUAACUCGGAGGAAGGUGGGGAUGACGUCAAGUCAUCAUGCCCCUUAUGUCCAGGGCUUCACGCAUGCUACAAUGGCCGGUACAGAGAGUUGCGAUAUCGUGAGGUGGAGCGAAUCUCUUAAAGCCGGUCUCAGUUCGGAUCGGGGUCUGCAACUCGACCCCGUGAAGUCGGAGUCGCUAGUAAUCGCAGAUCAGCAACGCUGCGGUGAAUACGUUCCCGGGCCUUGUACACACCGCCCGU